GACGAACGCUGGCGGCGUGCUUAACACAUGCAAGUCGAACGGAAAGGCCCUGCUUUUGUGGGGUGCUCGAGUGGCGAACGGGUGAGUAACACGUGAGUAACCUGCCCUUGCCUUUGGGAUAACUUCAGGAAACUGGGGCUAAUACCGGAUAUGAGCUCCUGCUGCAUGGUGGGGGUUGGAAAGUUUCGGCGGUUGGGGAUGGACUCGCGGCUUAUCAGCUUGUUGGUGGGGUAGUGGCUUACCAAGGCUUUGACGGGUAGCCGGCCUGAGAGGGUGACCGGCCACAUUGGGACUGAGAUACGGCCCAGACUCCUACGGGAGGCAGAAGUGGGGAAUAUUGCACAAUGGGCGGAAGCCUGAUGCAGCAACGCCGCGUGCGGGAUGACGGCCUUCGGGUUGUAAACCGCUUUCGCCUGUGACGAAGCGUGAGUGACGGUAAUGGGUAAAGAAGCACCGGCUAACUACGUG
RNAcentral lists this ribosomal RNA (468 nucleotides) under uncultured bacterium. Its description in RNAcentral is "partial 16S ribosomal RNA". It matches the Rfam family "Bacterial small subunit ribosomal RNA", at positions 28 to 507 of the family's 1533-position model. The record is from RNAcentral.